This 167-nucleotide ribosomal RNA is filed under the name Macromia amphigena. RNAcentral describes it as "5.8S ribosomal RNA". It matches the Rfam family "5.8S ribosomal RNA". Rfam says of the family: 5.8S ribosomal RNA (5.8S rRNA) is a component of the large subunit of the eukaryotic ribosome. Lineage: Eukaryota; Metazoa; Arthropoda; Insecta; Odonata; Macromiidae. The record is from RNAcentral. RNAcentral also lists the same sequence under 1 other name.
UUGAAGCAUUAUCCUAUACGGUGGAUCACUCGGCUCGUGGAUCGAUGAAGGACGCAGCAAACUGCGCGUCGAAGUGUGAACUGCAGGACACAUGAACAUCGACGUUUCGAACGCACAUUGCGGCCCACGGAAUCCCAUUCCCGGGCCACGCCUGGCUGAGGGCCGGC